GGACCGGUCCCAAGUCGGGGAGACCGGUCCCCAAGCACGAAAUCUGUCCAGUUCUGACAGUUUAAUAAAGUGAAAGCUGAGGGGUUUAUUUGCAAAAAUGCAAUAUAUAGGUUAUGUUGAGGGGGUUAUGAGGUAUUUUCUCUCAUUCUCACCCUCUCACACUCUCACCUCUCUUUCUCUCUCCAGAAGACAAGAAGGAGAAAAAGAAAGAAAGGGAAAGAAAGGAAAAGAAGAAGAAGAAAAAGAGAAGGAAGGUGGAGAAGAAGAAGAAUGAGUGAAAUAACUCCCUCUUCUUCACCUCUAGCACAAAGAAA
RNAcentral lists this long non-coding RNA (314 nucleotides) under Ananas comosus (pineapple). RNAcentral's name for it is "long non-coding RNA (ACOM_LNC019732)". Lineage: Eukaryota; Viridiplantae; Streptophyta; Magnoliopsida; Poales; Bromeliaceae. The record is from RNAcentral.